RNAcentral lists this ribosomal RNA (152 nucleotides) under uncultured bacterium. RNAcentral's name for it is "partial 16S ribosomal RNA". It matches the Rfam family "Bacterial small subunit ribosomal RNA", at positions 381 to 525 of the family's 1533-position model. The record is from RNAcentral.
GCCUGAUCCAGCAAUGCCGCGUGUGUGAUGAAGGCCUGCGGGUUGUAAAGCACUUUCAGUGGGGAAGAAAAGCCUAUUGUUAAUACCCUUGGGUGUUGACGUUACCUACACAAGAAGCACCGGCUAACUCCAUGCCAGCAGCCGCGGUAAUA